RNAcentral lists this ribosomal RNA (440 nucleotides) under uncultured bacterium. RNAcentral describes it as "partial 16S ribosomal RNA". It matches the Rfam family "Bacterial small subunit ribosomal RNA", at positions 338 to 795 of the family's 1533-position model. The record is from RNAcentral.
CCUACGGGAGGCUGCAGUAGGGAAUAUUGCUCAAUGGGGGAAACCCUGAAGCAGCAACGCCGCGUGGAGGAUGAAGGUCCUCGGAUUGUAAACCCCUUUUGUUAGAGAAGAUAAUGACGGUAUCUAACGAAUAAGCACCGGCUAACUCCGUGCCAGCAGCCGCGGUAAUACGGAGGGUGCAAGCGUUACUCGGAAUCACUGGGCGUAAAGAGCGCGUAGGCGGGAUAGCAAGUCAGAUGUGAAAUCCUAUGGCUUAACCAUAGAACUGCAUUUGAAACUGUUAGUCUAGAGUAUGGGAGAGGUAGGUGGAAUGCGUGGUGUAGGGGUAAAAUGCGUAGAGAUCAAGAGGAAUACUCAUUGCGAAGGCGACCUGCUAGAACAUAACUGACGCUGAUGCGCGAAAGCGUGGGGAGCAAACAGGAUUAGAUACCCUUGUAGUC